UAUGGAAUGCGCUCCCCAGAGAGGGUCGCCAGAUAAAGACCUUUUUAUUUAGCCAUCGAUUUAAUAAUUAAGGAUUUAGAUGGUUUAAGAUCUGAUCACAGUCACAUGUUCUUUCUUUUUUCUUCCUUUCUUCCUUUUCUUUAGUUUUUUUGAAAGUGUUUGUUUUAUGUUGUGCUUAUUAUCUAAUGUUUUAAUUAUUGUUUUAUUGUAUUA
Varanus komodoensis (Komodo dragon) is the source of this 213-nucleotide long non-coding RNA. RefSeq lists it as uncharacterized. Lineage: Eukaryota; Metazoa; Chordata; Lepidosauria; Squamata; Varanidae. The transcript is spliced from 3 exons. The record is from RefSeq and is a predicted model, not a curated record.